GACGAACGCUGGCGGCGUGCUUAACACAUGCAAGUCGAACGGUGAAGCGCCUUCCUUUUUGGUGGGUGUGGAUGAGUGGCGAACGGGUGAGUAACACGUGAGUAACCUGCCCCCUUCUUCUGGAUAACCGCAUGAAAGUGUGGCUAAUACGGGAUAUUCUGGGUCUGUCGCAUGAUGGGUCUGGGAAAGAUAUUGUUUCGGUGGGGGAUGGGCUCGCGGCCUAUCAGCUUGUUGGUGGGGUGAUGGCCUACCAAGGCGGUGACGGGUAGCCGGCCUGAGAGGGUGGACGGUCACACUGGGACUGAGACAAGGCCCAGACUCAUACGGGAGGCAGCAGUGGGGAAUAGUGCACAAUGGGCGAAAGCUUGAUGCAGCGACGCCGCGUGAGGGAUGGAGGCCUUCGGGUUGUGAACCUCUUUCGCCAGUGAAGCAGGCCUGCCUCGUUUGUGGGUGGGUUGACGGUAGCUGGAUAAGAAGCGCCGGCUAACUACGUG
RNAcentral lists this ribosomal RNA (494 nucleotides) under uncultured bacterium. RNAcentral describes it as "partial 16S ribosomal RNA". It matches the Rfam family "Bacterial small subunit ribosomal RNA", at positions 28 to 507 of the family's 1533-position model. The record is from RNAcentral.